GAACCCGAACCAGUCCCGUCCCCGAGCCCCCCCGCAGAGCCAGGCGGCCCGCGGCCCCUUACCUUGGCCUGGCAUUUCCGAUGACAGGAGAAGCUGCAGACUGCGAGAGGGCGAGACACAGAAAGAAAGUUUAGCCGCGAGGUAUGAAAUGGAAACUCCGGCGAAUCUCCUCCCACCCCCGCCCGCACUCCGCGCUUGGGAGGGAAGGAGGGAAGGAGGGAAGGAGGGACGGAGGGAAGGAGGGAAGGAGGGACGGAGGGAGGAGGCGGCGGAGGGGGGCCGCUGCCGCAGCUCCCCGGGGCCCGCGGGGUGGGACUGCGGACCCUCCGGCUGGGGAGGCACCGAGCCCCCAUCACCAGAGCCCCUGGGGCAGGCCUGCGAAGGUGGGAGGAACAGGAGGAGGGGAGGGGGGGACAGACUCCCCCGCUGGAUCCCUGCCAGGGGCAGAGGUGGCCCGGACCCAGGCCCCAUGCCAGCCGUGCCAAGGAAUAACGGGGGCCUUCUCCCCUUACACACACACACACACACACACACACACACACACAAACACACGUGUGUGCGCGCACGCCAGGAAGGCAGUCGGCACCCCAGGAACCACAAUCGCACUCACUCUCCCCUAGAGAGGGACACACGAACCCGAUUUACAGUCCAGGAGAAGACCGGUGCACACACACAUUCGCAUUUACACCCAUACACACACAGACUCACCCAUAACCACUUAUACCCGUACACUCAGCCAGACGUGCAAACAUAACCAUAUGUACACAUAUAGCCUCACACACACUCACACUCAUGCCCAAGGGAAACCUCUGACUCAGGGACACCAACACACAGCCUGACACGGACGUGUAGACACAGACACACGGACAGAUGCUCACACAGGCUCACAACCUUCUUGUCCAUCAUUUGAAACACACACACACACACACACACACACACACACACACACACAAAGGACUUAAUUCUGCCCUCCCACUACCAGAAGCUGGAAUCAAAUUUCCUCUGGGGUUCCCUCCGUCUGGAAUGUCCCAGCCCUGCCUGCCCCACCCACAGGGCCCUCCACCCUGGGGUUUGCUGGUCCCCUCCCACCAAGUCCCACAGAUGGAGUGAGGGGUCUCCUGAGCUGAGCUCCUACACGGACUUGACCUUAUUUGCUACCCACGACCUGCUGAGACAGUGGGUUAGCAGCACUGGUUAGAGAACAGGGGUCGGGGAGGCAGGGGAGCUGCUGCAACCCCAAAUCCUUGGUAGCCACAGCCAACUGCCCUGACCUCUUGGAUCCACAGUUCCUCCAAUCCUUUUCUGUCUUUGAGCCAACUUGAUUCUCAGCAGAAUGCAAAAGGGGAGACUGAGGCACAGAGGAAGGCCCAGAGUUGCCAAAAGAGGCUCUGGGGCUCUCCAUACCAAGGCUUCUGAUUGGUCUGUGGGAGUGGAAGUCCAGAGGCACAAUGGGUGGAGCCUAGGAUUUCAACCUUGGCUAUUGGCCCUCCUCGCCUGGGACCUUGUUCUCCCAGAACCUAGCCCUGGCCCCAGCUCAGGCCUGUGACUCAGCUGCUGCUGAACAAGGCUUUCCUGACCCCACCAGCCACCCAGCCCAGCUCAGGGACUUCUCCGCCCCUGGCCACACCAAGACGUAUCCACCCCUGGCCACCCAAAACAAGUCAUGCCCAUCUGCUAGCCUUUCUGCUUCUCUGUGUCCCCACUCUCACUACCCCAGCGUGGCAACUCCCCUUCAGACUCCCCAGCCCCACCCCCACGCCUUCUUUUCUGGCCUCAGAAUAUGGAAUUGAGAAAGCCUCAGGCUGAGUGUGGCCUGAGCUCUGAAGGCCUUUCCAGCCAGACCGGCCCCCCACUGGGCCACUACCUCCAGCCUGAAGGAGCUUUCCCCUUCCUCUGCUAAUCAAAUCCCAGGCCUUCAGGAAAAAGUCCUGGGCCCCUCAUCUGGAGGCCUUCCUCACUGUUCCCUACCUCCUUGCAGGUAUCACCAGAGAGAGCAUGUUUCCCAUCACCUCCUUGGUUCCUACAGCUGUGGGCUCCUUCAAAGGAAGGAUCUCUCUCUCUCUCUUUCUCCCUCCCUCCCUCUCUCUCUCUUUCUCUCUCACACACACAUACACACAUACACACACACACACACACACACACACACACACACACACUACACAGUGCCUGGUAUACAGUAGAGGUUUAACAAAUGAUUGAUGAGUUGGACCUGACUGAAGAUCUCCCCUGGAAUCUAUGUACACCCCCAUUUAAUCAUUCCCACCCCACUCUCAGCCUUUCCCUGAGCCAUACUCUGCCCCCAAUAUUUAACUAUCCGUUAAAAUGGAUCCCUAAGUUAUCCAAUCUGGGCCUCCUGAUCCCAGUCUAGAUACCAACAGCCAGGAUUCCAUCUUCCUCCAGUAUCAUACUGCAUACCUGACAGUUCACAGAAUGCACCAAACUCUUGCCUGCCUCAGGGCCUUUGCACUUGCUGUUCUGGCUGCCUGGAACACUCUCCCUCACCCCAGCCGUCUAUUGUUCCCCAAGCCAAAUCCUUCUCCUACUUCUAGAAUCCACCACAAGCCAGAUAUCUAUCUCCCCAAAGAGGCUUUUCCUGACCACCCAAAUUACAUUACGUACUUCCAAUAUUCUUUCUCAGUGGUACCCUGAUAAUUUCCUUCUUAAUACAGUUCACAGUCUGAAGUCAACAUGGGCAAUUCCUGCUCAUUUAUGAAUAGUGCCUCUCCCUACACUAGACUCACCAGGACAAGGAGCAUGCCUGUCUCAUUCGCACCAUAUCCCCAGUAGCUAGAACGGUAUCUGCUCCAGCCCACAACAGCAAACAGCAGCUUUGUGCAAAUUAGAAAAAGGCUUACCCUCUGAGCAAACCAACCCCUUGGACACACAGCUGAGUAGAGUAUCUUUGUGGAAAUGGCAAGGAGGUGCCUUCUCUCCAGGCAGACCCCACUCUGUACCUGAGUGUGUGGUUUGGAGAGCAAAGAGUGGCUGCUUCCAGGGCUCCCUCGGGUAGGUGCCCUUGGCAGUGAACAGCCUGCAUGACCAUACAGGGCAGCCCUGCCUAUCACACAGUGGGCAGACACUCUACAAAUGCCCUUGAAUGGAGGGCAGAUGGAGAAAUCAUCGGGCAACUGCAGUACAAUGUUCUGAGGGCUCCCUGCGUGCUGGAAUGCAGAGAACUUGCCCUUGAAAGCUCUACAGUGGGGAGCAAGGGAAGACCUCCCCCAACCCCCCAGAGCCCAGAAGACAAAAGCUCGGCAAACUCAACUCAAGUGGCAGGUUCCAAGCAGCUCUGCUGAGAGCUUUUGACACCUUAGGAGCACCUGCCCACCACUCCCCAAGGAGGCCCUCUUGCCCUGAGUGCCCUCCAGGGACUGUGCGCUCACAAUCUUAGUCACCCCUUCUCAGCAACCCCCCACACACCCGGGGCAGUAUUUCCUACUCUGACUUGCACAUCCCCUCUGCUGUAAUUUGAAACUUGAGCGUGACAUUCUGCUGGCUUCUCACUUCCCAGAUCAAUGGCACCUCCUGGAACCCUCUCCCACAAUGAACAGGGCUGCUUUAUACACCCAACUGAAUAUCAUCGAAAGGCUGCUGUGUGACUUCUGGGGCUCAGUCAUCAAAGGCACUGUGGCUUCAGCCCUGGUCUCUUGGAUCACUUGCUGGGGCAGAAGCAAGUCCCGAUGCCACGAGGCGCUAUAGAGAGGGCCAUGCGAGGAACGGCCGCGGCCCCCUGCCACCGGCCUGCGCCCAUUUGUCAGGCACAGGCCCGGGCCACCUGGCAAGUGGAUCCUCCAGGCCCUGUCUGUCAGGCCCUCAGAUGACUACCGCCCUGGCCACAGCUUCAUGAGGGACCCAGGGUCCAAACCACCCAGCUAAGUCACACGGGAACCCCUGACCCUCAGAAACUCUGUGACAUAAUAAUUGCAUAUUUAUUGUAAAUUGCUAAGUCGGGGGAUGAUGUGUUAAGUAGCUACAGAUAAACCACACAGAAACCAGGGCACAGGAUCCCUCAGAAAGCAAGAGGCUAAAGGCUGUUGCUGGGAAUUGAGGCCAGAGGCCAUCUCCUCAGUCCUGCCUUGCAUCCUGGGACCAGCAUGCUCCUCCCCGUAACCCCUUCUCCCCUCUCCUUACCCUACAAUACGAUUAGUCAUCCUGUCCCAGAAAGUAACUCCAAAGAGGCUGUUGGAUCCCCCUUUUCCUGCCAGCCCCCCACCACUGCACCAGUUCGGGCCAAUUAUCCUUCCCUGGGUCCCGUCUCCCCUCCGGCCUUGUCCCCCUUCAAUCCACAGAACCACAGACCAUUCUCGAGUGCAAACCGAUCGCAUUUAUACUCCUUCUUAGAAACACCUGGUCCAGCACCUCAGCACGCUUAUAAGGCCCCGCACAGGCAGGUCUUGUCUUCGCCUCCAGCCACUGCCCCAAAAGAGAUCUGUUGCUGCCACAGUGAACUCCCCCAAAGGACACUGAGGCUAGUAGGCCUGAAAUGGUGAACUCAUAUACAUCCUCUGAGGCCCAGUUCGAAACGCCCCUCCCUAGAUGAUCAGGCACUCAAAGGCACCUCCUCUGUGCUCCCAGGCAGGUCCUGUUCGACUUGGCAGCUUGGUAUCCUGCCCCUUCUCCUAGCACAGGGUCUGACAUACAGAUGGGGCUCAACACACGUGGAGUACACUUAAAACUGGAAAAAUUCUCCCCAGCCCAAACCACUGGGACUGGGGCUGAUGUUCCAGGGCAAUGAAACAGACACAAGAGAGGGUAGGUAAGCCCUACUUUUCAGCUCAGCUCCUGCUGGGAAAGGGCAAAUAGGGACUGUGGUCAGUGCUUUCCGAGUGUGUCAGUACAAAUAUCACCUAUGAUCCAACCUGGUCCAGCUCUCCAUCUACCCACUUACCUACCUGGCUGCGUGUAGACUGGCUCUCAGCUCAGAUGUAGGUCGUGCUCUGUGACCUGGGACAAGUUACUUAACCACUCUGAGCCUUAAUUUCCUCAUCUAUAAAAUGGGGGCAAUAACCGUAUCUACUUUACAGGGUUGUUAUGGGAAUUAACUGACUCCCUAUAUGUGGGCGACCCACAGCAUAGCAGCUUUUCAUCCCUGCUGUUAUUAUACUGGAGAGCCCCCAACUCCUAGUCAGGAGGCCCGGCUUCCGGUCCCAACGGCCAUCAUACAGUUGUGUGACGUGAGGCAAGUCAUUCCCACUCUCUGGUCCCCACCACGCCCUGCUGACUCACACUCAUUUGCCUACAUUACCCCUGAAGUUCCCUACAUCACUGAGCCCUGGAACAGAUGGUCCUCAAGCCCUCUUCCAGCUGUGACAGUCUGUGUUACCCACUGGUCUCCCCACCAGUCACCACCUGUCUCUUCCUCCCUCCAGCGAACAGCGAAGAAAGCGGGGGAAGCCCAGGUUCCAACCCUGCGCACAUCCCACACACUGGAGGAAACACCCAGCCUGUGAUUGACAUGGAUGCCCACUCCACACUGUACCACACCUCACUGAGGGUCAAGGGCAGGAAUACGCCAACCUUCCCAGCCUGAUGUCCUCCGCGCUUGAGUCCUUCCCAGAUGCACAUCUCAGGAUCAACCCCACCUGAGCGAACCGUGGCCCUCCCCAGCUCCCACAGAAGACAGUGGCCUCUGAAGCCAGUGACUCUGCAAGAUGAAGCCCCCUGGGGAGGGAUCCCAUCAAACCAAAGCAACGUGCAGCCCCCAGAGUCCCAUCUCUGCCCAUGGGUGUCAACAGGGACCCCCACACAGCAGGGCACCUCCCCUGCCUUCCAGGCUCCUGAUAUACCACCCGGUGGCCUAAGAGGGAGCUGAGAGCCCCAUAGUGUAGAGGGGUCCAUAGGUUACCUUCUGGGGUGGAAAAAUGCACCCCCAACCCCAGCCCUCAGCCAGCUCCCGCCUCACUGGCUCACUGGGCUGCCAGGACUCUGUCCUGAGGUGGCUUCCUGCCUCUCAGGAACACAGGAAGCCAACAUUGUUGGGAUCUAAAUGGCCUUUUCCUCCUGGCCUCGGCUUGGAAAAUGAGCACAUAGCCUCAGUGUGCACCUGACCCCAGCAAUAACCGCCCACACCCCCAGUGGGCCUCAGCUUCUUCCCCUGGUCACUUGCUGACUGAGUGACCAGCCCAGCCACCCACCUGCCCACCCAGCCUAACAGCCCUUCCCUGCUCUGCUGAUCUCCAUGGCCUUGGGCAGGCCAUGGUACUCAAAUAGUUGUUCAACAUUAUUCUAGUUGUUUCUAUGAAGGGGUUUUUUUUAUGGAUAAGAGUAACAUUUAAAUCAGGAGACUUUGAGUAAAGCACAUUAACUUCCAUAAUGUGGGUGGGCCUCAUCCAAUCAGUUGAAGGCCUGAAUAAAACAAAGACCUCCUCAAGCAGGAAGAAAUUCUGCCAACAGACUAGUUUAGAACUUGAACUGCAAUGCCCUGGGUCUCCAGCCUGAUGACCUACUCUGCAGAUUUUGGACUUGCCAAGUCUCUGUAACUGCAUGAGCCAGUUUCUUAAAACAAAUCACCUACCUAUCUCUAUCCAUCCAUCAACUACCUACCUAUCCAUCCAUCCAUCUAUACACACAUCCUGUUGGUUCUGUUUCUCUGGAGAACCCCAACUAAUACAAGGGAUGGUCAGAAGUACGGGCGCCAUGAGACUUUGAAGUUGAGCGAGAAGAAACUUCUAGAUCAUCCCGUCCAGUGCUUUUGAAACUUUCAUGCACAUGGACUCCUAUGAUAUUGGUUACCAUCAUGCGCAUGGACUCCUUUGAUAUUGGUUACCAUUCAGGAAUGCUCAUUCUGUACCAGGCUCUGUUCUGAGCCCUUUAUGUGUACAUAUUAUCUCAUUUCAUCCCCAAAGUAACUCAAGGAGAGAGGUGUGUGAUGUGUGUCAUUUGAAAGGAGAGGUAACUGAGGCUCAGAGGGGUUAUGCGACCUGCCUAAGUUCUCACUUGUAAGCGGUAGAGCUGGGAUAUGAAUUCAGGAUGCCUGGGCUAAGUACAAAACCACCAUCCAUUCUGCCUCCUGAUACAUUUAACUCCCACAACCAGAGCUUUUCUGAUUCAAAUGGGCAGGGGCUCCAGAGUCUCAGCCCCUCAAGCCUUCCCUUGGAUUUCUCCUUUUUCCUACCUUCUCAGGCCCCUAAAGUAUCUCCAAAAAAAAAAAAAUUCAGUUCCUUUGGAGAACAGUUUAGAACCUCUAAUCCAGUCCAAUCCCUCUUUUAGAGAAAGGGGAAAGUCAGGCCCAGAGAGGUUAAGUGUCUCACCCAAGCUUACACAGCCAGACCGGAGCAAGCCACAACAAGAACCCGGGGUCUUUCCACCCUACCAGGCUGCCUCCAAUGAUUCCAAAGAGGUCCUCAGACACAGGGCGAAAGCUGUCAUUGUCAGUGAAAUAACAGAGGAGAACGAGCUCCCUGAAACAAGUUUUCCCCAAAUCCAACCAGUAAGGGCUUCUGAGUAGGCUUGUCCCACUGAGAGGUGAAUUGUCUUCCCCGGGUACAUCCCACUCUGGGGAGGCAGCAGGAACCUCCCCUGCCUUCCAGGCUGGUCAGUGGCAUUGAGAAGGGAGGUAGUCUAAAACUAGGCCUACAUCCAGGCCCAGAUGGCAAUCCUUGGGCUCUGGAGCCGGCAUUUUGGUCUCUCCUCUCAGCUUUCAGCCUAGCAGAAGGCUAGAGCCCUUUAGCAAGGCCCUAGACUCCCUAAAGCACUGUCCCCAAGGACCUGGGGGAAACCCACCGUUUGACCUGAGGAACUCAUAAACAUCCCUCCAGACCCAGCCUCCUUCUGCCUUCCCUGAUGAAGCCUAACAGGAAAAUCUCUGCUAAGUCAGAGACAACCUUUCUCAUACACCUCUGUGUCAGCUUGGCCACAUGUUCUGUGAUUGUCUGAUGGCAUGUCUGUCUUCCCAGGUCAGGGGCUGGGUCUCGGCACCAGUACCUGGUACAGCGUCUAGCCCAGAGGGCCCUUAGUUCACGACUGCCAGGUGGAUGUCCUUGUGUGUGCAGGAGGUGAGGUGGCAACCUACACUGGGAGACUUAUCUAGCCUUUACAGACUCCAACAGAGGACUUUUCCAGGCCCUCCCACUGGCCGGGGCUCAGGGAGCAUUCUUGGUCCAGCCCCUUCUCUACAGUUGAGGAAACUGAGUCCUGAGUGGUGACGUGAUCUAUCUGAGGUCAUACGGCCUGUGAGUGGCAGGGCCAGACAGAGUGCCUGGACCGCUAACAAAGGCCUGGGGCCUCUUCUCCUCCCAUUGUCUCAUCCAUCUGUCUCCCUCACAGGGAGCCUUAGUCCAGAACACUGGUAUUCAUUUUACAGCCACACACACAGAACCUCAGUGUUCCUCGCAGUAACCAACCCCCCAGAGACGCAGGACAGGGUUUAUUACUAACCCCAUGGUACACAGGAGGAAACCCCAUGGUACUCAGGGAAGGAAAAGACUGGUGACAGUCUCACAGUGACCUCUCUGCCUGUAUAUCAGUCAUACUUAUUCCCAAAUGUCCUGCCACCUUCGUUCUUUGCCUGCAUUGUCCAUCUUUGAGUCUCCCCGUCCAGAACUAGACCCUAGGUUCCCUGACUCCUUUCCCCAUCCCCAUCAUCGACCCCAACCCCUUCAGCCAUAGUACAUUAAACAGUGAAAUGCGGCAGGCAGGGAGCAGAAGACUGGUCCAAGCUAUAGAGCAGGUCAGCCAGAGGGAGACAGGACAAAUGCCCCCAUUUCUCUAGAUCUAGGAAAGUGCCCUCACUUUCCAUGCCUGCACUUGGAGUGCCCUCAGCACCGCAAGGAGACUGAAUUCAGAGCCUUGAUGUUCCAUGCACCCCUCCACACUCAUCAGCCUCAGCCACUAAUCCAGAGAAUGACCAUGUUGUAACCCCAGACUCGAAGACCAAAAAAGGAACCAGAGAGCACCACAAACCCUUCGGUUUGGGCUUGGUGAACAAAACAUGACCUGGGUUUUAGUCCACAAUCACCCCCUUAGCCGGGGAACAACCUGUACAACCAUAGCUGGUGGCCGCGGAUGGAUGGGUGGGUGGGUGGAUAAGGGGGUCUGUCCAUCUUGUGCCACCUUCUGGUUCCAAAACACAGAGAGUUGGCCCACUCCUGUAUCUCUCACCAGCAAGCCCAGUGGCUCCAACCCCGUCCCCAGGCCUGGUGACCCCAACCCUCUGCUGAGAAUGCACAUCGUAGUCUCCUGUAGAGCUGGGAGUCUUCAAUCCUCCCUUGCUGGGCCCAGCCCCAGCCCUUCCAUGGCCCAGUCCUGACACCUGGUGGUGCCUCUGGGCUGCAGUCCUGGCUUUCUUCCCACUUCUCAAUAACUCAUUCAGAGCUGCCAAACCAGCCUGGCAGCUCACUGGCCACCUGCCCUCCACUCUGGUUCACACCGGCAGGGCCAGGCUCCGAACCAGGUAAAACCCAGGUCUCACCUUGGCGGCCUUCCCUUCCCACAGGUUCACAUCCCCUCCUCAACCCAGGCCUUCAAGCCAGGUCAACUGGGGAACUUAGGACUACAGACUAUUACAGAAUUUGCAGCCAGAGAUGUGCCAAGGUCAGACACUGAGUGCCAGACUUCCUUCUACCCCACCCCUGUUCUGCCUCCUAUCAGAGGAGUGCUGGCGGUCUGGGGUGAAGGGAAGGCACACCAGGGAAGGAAGGAAGGAACUGGUGGGAGGUGGAGGGAAUGGAGGCUCAGGGGCUAACUUCAGCAGGCUCACCCGGCCGGGUGGGGUGGGGGCGGUGACGCAAGCAAAAUGGAAAACGCCGCCCCCAGCAAUCCCCUCCUGACUCUCCCGGCUCCCACCCUAACCCAACACCGUCCCAGCCGGACCUCUUGGGAGGAGGGUGACACCAUGCGGCUUACUUUGGUACUGCAAAAGUCCCUGUUGGCCUCCUAAAUUCCUUCCGGGCGUCCCAGCUCUUCAGUCAAGGACCAUUAACCUCUGCCCUUUGCGCAUAGCAGGACGUGCCUAGAAUGCCUCCACGUGCACAUUCGCACACACUCACACAUUCCCAUCCACCCACUCCCCCCUCCAACAUACUGCUGAAACUCCUUGUCUAGGAGGACUUCCCUCCCCCAGAGAGCACACCCCCGACAACCCCACUCGGACCCAGCCAGCUGUGUGCCUUGGCAAGAGACUUAACCACUCUGAGCCUUGGUUUCCUCAUCUGUAAACUGAGGGCGACACCAGCACUUUCCGGAGGCUGCGAGCCCUGCAGGAGAUCCAUGUGAGUGCUUUCAUACUAAGUGCUUUCGUGAUUGCUCCCUAGGCUCUGAUGCCCAGCUUCCCAGCCCCACCGAGACUGGCAGGGAGGGAGGGGAGAGUCCGGGUAGAGCCACGUGAGUGAAGACCCUCGGGCAAGAAGGAGCCUGGCCCCUCUGGUAUGUUUGAUAUACUUGGCGUAUUCCAGAACUGAGCGAGGUGCAGCCGGGGUGAGUAUGGGCUUGGGGGACAGGGCGGAUGGGUCAGAGAGCUGGCACAGGGUGGAUCCUGCUGGGCCUAAGGAGUCAGUGCUUUGUCUUGAGGGUAGUGGGGGCUCCCAAACCUUUUCCCAGGGAGCUGACAUGACCAGAUCUAUGUGGAGUCCCACUCGGAGCUGGUGAGGACGGUGGAUUGGAGAGGGCGGGCCAGGAAGCCAAGAGCUGAAGUCAGCCCUCCGGAUGACAGGUGCUGCCAGCCUGAAGUGGAGAGGCUCAGUGAUCCAAACUACACUGGGGGCCCUGGCGAUUGAUGGGAGGCAGGGUGGGCAGGAGAAGGAGGCAUCUGGUAGGGCCGCUGGGCGGGGGGGGUGUCAGUCACUGUCACUGAGACUGUGCGCGGGGGCCCCCUGCUGAUUUUACUGUGUGAUCUGGGGCAAGACACUGACCUCUCUGGCAACAGUCACAGCCAAAUCCCAGGCCGUGUCAGAAGCACAUGAGAACAGUGAUUGAAAAAGCCCAGAAGGGGCGCCUGGGUGGCGCAGUCGGUUAAGCGUCCGACUUCAGCCAGGUCACGAUCUCGCGGUCCGUGAGUUCGAGCCCCGCGUCAGGCUCUGGGCUGAUGGCUCAGAGCCUGGAGCCUGUUUCCGAUUCUGUGUCUCCCUCUCUCUCUGCCCCUCCCCCGUUCAUGCUCUGUUUCUCUCUGUCCCAAAAAUAAAUAAACGUUGAAAAAAAAAAAUUUAAAAAAAAAAAGAAAGAAAAGAAAAAGCCCAGCAGCCGCCAGGCUCUCCCCCAAGUCGGAUUCAGAGCCUCUUGCACUCCUCCCUAGCUUUGGCGUCUUCCUCAGUGCCAGGCACACAUCCACACACCAUCCCCAUGCGACACCCCUUCUGCGUGCCUCCUUCAUAUCAUCCACAUGCAUCCCGGCCAUUCGCUCACAAGCCACAGGUCAUGCCCGUGCCACCCACACCUGCCAGGUACCAUCCACACACACCCACAAGCUUGCCAUCUGGUGUGCGUAGCACCUCUCCCCACAGGAGAACCAGGCACAAGGCUAGGACCCCGAGGACAUCUGCCCCGGCCCCAGGCCACCUCGUUCCCAUGACAGUGCUCUCCCCACCACCCCCUCCCCCAGAGCCUGGCCAGCUGCUCACCUUUGCAGGUGCAACCCUCCCGGGUGAUGGCCUGUCGGCAGAUACCACAGGGCUUCACCUUCUUGAAGGUCUUCACCUUGAAGUGGUGAGUCUUGGGGGCCUCCAGAUCCUCCGGCUGUGUGGGGGAGAGGCACAGUGAUCAGGCCUGGGCAGAAGACCGAGGAAGGAGGCAGAGGGGACUAGGGGACAAGUGGGCAAGGACUGGGGAAAAGGAGAAGUGAGAGCCCCGUCAGGGGUGACAGGGCUGGGCCCAUUUCUGGGAGGAGGUGCCCCAGGAAAGAGAAAGCUGAGUGUGACCCAGACUCCCACAAUUAGGUGGGUCAGCCUACCGGGACACUGAUUUUAAAUGGAUUGCUCAAUACGGUUUUACACGCACAUACCGCACAACCACACCCCGGGAGGCUGUCUCAUGGCCGACCCGGUCAAUAGCCCCCUAAGGUAAGUACUGUGGCGACUCCUUUCACCAAAGAUGCAUUUUGCCGGAGCUCUAAGCUUCACUGUGAGGUUUCUGUCACUCAGGAUUAAUCCUUGGGGUUUAUCCACACAGUCGCACAGAGCAGCAGCACCUCAUUUUCAUCACCGUGUGUGAUCACAGCUAAUUCCUUUCCCUGUCCGUGUCCCCAUGUCGCCAAUGUGCCACGUCCCUCCAUUCUCUCUCACCCCCAUCCCUACCACCUCCUGCCCCAGCCCGGGCUUCUUCCAUCUUUAUUUUUGGUUCUUUGCACUAUGAAAAUUAAAUCUCCUUUUUAUUUAUUUAUUUUUUCACAUUUAUUUAUUUUUGAGAGAGAGAGAGACAGAGGGUGAGUGGGGAAGGGGCAGAGGGAGAGGGAGACCCAGAAUCCGAAGCAGGCUCCAGGCUCUGAGCUGUCAGCACAGAGCCCGACGCGGGGCUCAAACUCACGAACAGCUAGAUCAUAACCUGAGCUGAAGUCGGAUGCUUAACCGAGUGAACCACCCAGGUGCCCCUUUAUUUAUUUAUCUAUUUAUUUAUUAUUUAUUUAUUUAUUUAUUUAUUUAUUUAUUUAUUUAUUUAUUUAUUUUUAAGUAGGUUCCACACCCAGCACGGAGCCCAACACAGGGCUUUAACUCACAACACUGAGAUCAAGACCAGAGCUAAAAUCAAGAGUUGGAUGUUUAACCAACUGAGCCACCCAGGCAGGCGCCCCUUAAACCUCCUUUUUAAAACGACAGCACCACACACAUGCGAUGAGAGGCAGGCUGACAGUCCAGCCUUCUCUGUGUCCGACCGGCCGUGAGCCCCGAGCCAGUCACCAGCCGCCGCUGCCACAGGCCUCGGUUUCCUGCUCUGGAUGGCACGAGGUUGGGCACCACACCCUCAAACUCUGACAGUCUGUCCUUUGUAACCACAUAUGGGAACACACUCUAAGCCACAAAACCCUGCACCCACACUGCCUAGGACCCCCUCCUCCCAUCUGCAGCCCUCAGCCCAGGCCCAGGCUCAGGGAGCUUCCCGUGGAUGCCCUGGGAAGCCAUCCCUGCCCACGGGCACCAUGCCUCUCCAAGGCCCCUCACCCUGGUGUCCAACCUGAUGCAUUUCCCGGCUUUGGCAGCAGGGGCCGGCAGAACACAGACAUCGGCAGCUCCCUCACCCUGCGCAGGGCUCCCUGACACCCCUCUGCACACACAUGGCCACACACAGAGACACAACCUAUAGCAGACCCUGAAGUCCCAGGGGAGGGUUCUUCUCUUCAAGGUCCCCCUCCUUGUGCCCUGCUCCAGAGCCUCCAAGCGCUGACACAGGGGCCGGAGGGGGCGACUUGUGUGUUCAGAGCAUCCCAAAAGCUAGCAGGUCCAGGACUCCUCUCUGAAGACACUGCAGUGGUGAGUCCUGGGGGGCAGAGUGAGGCUGAGCCGCGAGAGAUGCAGAGAGAAAAAAACAGACAAAAUGAGAGAGACACAGAAAGCCAGAGAGACA
Molecule: long non-coding RNA, 13488 nt
Filed under: Lynx pardinus (Iberian lynx)
Lineage: Eukaryota; Metazoa; Chordata; Mammalia; Carnivora; Felidae
Source: RNAcentral